This 623-nucleotide ribosomal RNA is filed under the name uncultured Bacteroidales bacterium. Its description in RNAcentral is "bacterial SSU rRNA". It matches the Rfam family "Bacterial small subunit ribosomal RNA", at positions 121 to 743 of the family's 1533-position model. The record is from RNAcentral. Lineage: Bacteria; Pseudomonadati; Bacteroidota; Bacteroidia; Bacteroidales.
CCGACCUGCCCUUUACUCGGGGAUAGCCUUUCGAAAGAAAGAUUAAUACCCGAUGGCAUAAUGAUUCCGCAUGGUUUCAUUAUUAAAGGAUUCCGGUAAAGGAUGGGGAUGCGUUCCAUUAGGUUGUUGGUGAGGUAACGGCUCACCAAGCCUUCGAUGGAUAGGGGUUCUGAGAGGAAGGUCCCCCACAUUGGAACUGAGACACGGUCCAAACUCCUACGGGAGGCAGCAGUGAGGAAUAUUGGUCAAUGGGCGUUAGCCUGAACCAGCCAAGUAGCGUGAAGGAUGAAGGCUCUAUGGGUCGUAAACUUCUUUUAUAUAAGAAUAAAGUGCAGUAUGUAUACUGUUUUGUAUGUAUUAUAUGAAUAAGGAUCGGCUAACUCCGUGCCAGCAGCCGCGGUAAUACGGAGGAUCCGAGCGUUAUCCGGAUUUAUUGGGUUUAAAGGGAGCGUAGGUGGACUGGUAAGUCAGUUGUGAAAGUUUGCGGCUCAACCGUAAAAUUGCAGUUGAUACUGUCAGUCUUGAGUACAGUAGAGGUGGGCGGAAUUCGUGGUGUAGCGGUGAAAUGCUUAGAUAUCACGAAGAACUCCGAUUGCGAAGGCAGCUCACUGGACUGCAACUGA